GAUGAACGCUGGCGGCGUGCUUAACACAUGCAAGUCGAACGGGAAACAUUUUAAUGAAGCUUCGGCAGAUUUGGUUUGUUUCUAGUGGCGGACGGGUGAGUAACGCGUGGGUAACCUGCCUCACACUGGGGGAUAACAGUCAGAAAUGACUGCUAAUACCGCAUAAGCGCACGGGACCGCAUGGUUUUGUGUGAAAAACUCCGGUGGUAUGAGAUGGACCCGCGUCUGAUUAGGUAGUUGGUGGGGUAACGGCCUACCAAGCCGACGAUCAGUAGCCGACCUGAGAGGGUGACCGGCCACAUUGGGACUGAGACACGGCCCAA
This 323-nucleotide ribosomal RNA is filed under the name uncultured bacterium. RNAcentral's name for it is "bacterial SSU rRNA". It matches the Rfam family "Bacterial small subunit ribosomal RNA", at positions 28 to 334 of the family's 1533-position model. The record is from RNAcentral.